RNAcentral lists this long non-coding RNA (560 nucleotides) under Prunus dulcis (almond). RNAcentral's name for it is "sRNA ncRNA". The record is from RNAcentral. Lineage: Eukaryota; Viridiplantae; Streptophyta; Magnoliopsida; Rosales; Rosaceae.
UCAAACUUCAUGGGACAAGAAAUACCCCAAGAGUGGAGGGCAUUACCAAUCAACUUCCACCAGGAUAUUCUAGAGAAUAUCACAGCAUCUCCUAAUCCCCCUUGAUCCCCAAGCACAAUAAAAGUAGAUCCACCAAAAUCAGCAGCUCCACCUCUAAAACAGAGACAUCGACACUAGAUCUACCACACAAGUAGCAGAUCUAGCAAGAUCAGCCAAAAACCAGCCCUAAAAGACUGGAAACAAACCCUUGCAACAGCAAGGAGCAGACAAAACCUAACAAAAGUUGGGAGGAAAAACCUCUCCACAACAUAACGGGAGAGAGAGAGGCCCAGAUUAUUAACCAAAUGGGGUGGUUCCAGGGGAGAUCCCCUAGAACCAAGGAGAAAAGCAGAUCUGUGUUGGCUUUGGGUUAUGAGGAGAAGACGAGUCGAGAAGAAACGAGAGAGACAGGAUUGGAAACCAUAUGGAAUUUAGUUGAUUUGUGCUUCAAUGCAGUUCUAUCUUGAGGAUCAAGAUACAUAUAAAUUGCAAAAAACUCUUAUCAAAGUAGGCAAUCCAAC